RNAcentral lists this ribosomal RNA (498 nucleotides) under uncultured bacterium. Its description in RNAcentral is "partial 16S ribosomal RNA". It matches the Rfam family "Bacterial small subunit ribosomal RNA", at positions 28 to 507 of the family's 1533-position model. The record is from RNAcentral.
GACGAACGCUGGCGGCGUGCCUAAUACAUGCAAGUCGAACGAGAGCGACCGGUGCUUGCACUGGUCAAUCUAGUGGCGAACGGGUGAGUAACACGUGGGUAACCUGCCCAUCAGAGGGGGAUAACAUCCGGAAACGGAUGCUAAAACCGCAUAGGUCUUCGAGCCGCAUGGCUUGAAGAGGAAAAGAGGCGCAAGCUUCUGCUGAUGGAUGGACCCGCGGUGCAUUAGCUAGUUGGUGAGGUAACGGCUCACCAAGGCCGGGAUGCAUAGCCGACCUGGGAGGGUGGUCGGCCACAUUGGAACUGAGACACGGCCCAAACUCCUACGGGAGGCAGCAGUAGGGAAUCUUCCGCAAUGGACGCAAGUCUGACGGAGCAACGCCGCGUGAGUGAAGAAGGUUUUCGGAUCGUAAAACUCUGUUGUUAGAGAAGAACAAGUGCUAGAGUAACUGUUGGCGCCUUGACGGUGUCUAACCAGAAAGCCACGGCUAACUACGUG